This is a non-coding RNA of Triticum aestivum (bread wheat), 133 nucleotides long. The record is from Rfam. Lineage: Eukaryota; Viridiplantae; Streptophyta; Magnoliopsida; Poales; Poaceae.
AUAGUACUCCUUCCGUUCCAAAUUACUUGUCGUAGGUAUAUUACUUGUCGUAGGUAUGGAUGUAUCUAGAUGUAUUUUAGUUCUAGAUACAUUCAUUUCUGCGACGAGUAAUUUGGAACGGAGGGAGUAGAUA